CCUACGGGAGGCAGCAGUAGGGAAUAUUGCUCAAUGGGGGAAACCCUGAAGCAGCAACGUCGCGUGGAGGAUGAAGGUUUUAGGAUUGUAAACUUCUUUUGUGAGAGAAGUUAAUGACGGUAUCUCACGAAUAAGCACUGGCUAACUUCGUGCCAGCAGCCGCGGUAAUACGGAGGGUGCAAGCGUUACUCGGAAUCACUGGGCGUAAAGAGUGCGCAGGCGGGCUUGUAAGUCAGAUGUGAAAUCCUGUAGCUUAACUACAGAACUGCAUUUGAAACUAUGAGUCUAGAGUGUGGGAGAGGUAGGUGGAAUGCUUGGUGUAGGGGUAAAAUGCGUAGAUAUCAAGAGGAAUACUCAUUGCGAAGGCGACCUACUGGAACAUUACUGACGCUCAUGCACGAAAGCGUGGGGAGCAAACAGGAUUAGAUACCCCAGUAGUC
Molecule: ribosomal RNA, 440 nt
Filed under: uncultured bacterium
Lineage: Bacteria
Description: partial 16S ribosomal RNA
Rfam family: Bacterial small subunit ribosomal RNA
Source: RNAcentral